GCACUUGGGGGAUGUAUAGCUUCGGCUAGUUAUAUUUGGCUGUUUAAAUUAUUAUUAAAUAAAUCUUGCUUGUUGGGUGUAAACAAAUCAAGCAUAUGAUAUUAUUUAAGGAUAGUUUAUUCACUUUGAUCGUUUGGCUUGCUAGUGCUGCAAUUUAAAUUGCAUCGAUCAAUUAAUUUACCACUAAUCACAAGAUUAUUAUGGGGAUUUUAUUUAUGUAUUGCUUGUUUAAACCAAGCAUAAAAUAACAUACAAGAUAAUGAAUAUUAAGUUCAGUGGACAGUAUAACCUCGAUUUAUUCGAAUAAAGUUCUAGAUAUAAUAGUGAUUAUGACAAUUUUAUGUCUAUAUGUCUUGACCAAAUUACGUGCCAGCAGUCGCGGUAAUACGUAUAAGACUAGUGUUAUUCAUCUUUAGUAGGUUUAAAGGGUACCUAGACGGUAUAAUUAGUCUUAAAUAGGAUACGGUUAUACUAGAGUUAUAUAUGAGAAGGGGAGUAUUUGUGGAGUAGAGUUGAAAUUCUUUGAUCCCAUGAGGACUGGUAACGGCGAAAGCAACCUUUUAUCUAAUAACUGACGUUGAGGGACGAAGGCUCGGGUAGCGAACAGGAUUAGAUACCCUAGUAGUCCAAGCAGAUAAUUAUGAAUGCCAUAGGUUAGAUAUAUAUUUAGUCUAUAAACGAUAGUGUAAGCAUUUCACCUCAAGAGUAAUGUGGCAACACAGGAACUGAAAUCAUUAGACCGUUUCUGAAACCAGUAGUGAAGUAUGUUAUUUAAUUCGUAAGUACGCGAAAAACCUUACCACAACUUGAAUAUUAUCUUUUUAUGUUUAUGUAUGCCCUUUGGCUUUAUCCUUCGGGUCCUUCGGGUCCCUGCCUACUUCGUUAGGCAAGGAAGAAGAAGUAGCCUGUGGCUGCUUUGCAAGAGCCAAGGGCUGAAAAACAGAGCAAUAAAUAUAAUAUAUUGUUUUUUUUUUUUACUUUUUUAGUAAAUAAGUUUGAGCAUGUUUAUUAUAUUUAAAGAUAUUACAAGCGUUGCACGGCUGUCUUCAGUUAAUGUUGCGAGAUAUUGGUUAAUUCCAUUAAAUUAACGGAAACCCUUGCUUUAUUUAUGUAUGCUAUGUUUCUUUGUCUUCGCAAGAGCAAGGGAAAUUAAGUAGAAAUAAAGCAGUUCACCUUUACAGCGGAAAGAUAACAGGGAUCAA
Molecule: ribosomal RNA, 1202 nt
Filed under: Loramyces macrosporus
Lineage: Eukaryota; Fungi; Ascomycota; Leotiomycetes; Helotiales; Mollisiaceae
Description: SSU rRNA
Rfam family: Bacterial small subunit ribosomal RNA (bases 217-1202)
Source: RNAcentral